Molecule: ribosomal RNA, 576 nt
Filed under: uncultured bacterium
Lineage: Bacteria
Description: bacterial SSU rRNA
Rfam family: Bacterial small subunit ribosomal RNA
Source: RNAcentral
CCUACGGGAGGCAGCAGUGAGGAAUAUUGGACAAUGGGCGCAAGCCUGAUCCAGCCAUGCCGCGUGCAGGAAGAAGCAUCUAUGGUGUGUAAACUGCUUUUGUACAGGAAGAAACACUCCCUCGUGAGGGAGCUUGACGGUACUGUAAGGAUAAGGACCGGCUAACUCCGUGCCAGCAGCCGCGGUAAUACGGAGGGUCCGAGCGUUAUCCGGAAUCAUUGGGUUUAAAGGGUCCGUAGGCGGUUUAAUAAGUCAGUGGUGAAAUCUGGUCGCUCAACGAUCAAACGGCCAUUGAUACUGUUAGACUUGAAUUAUAAGGAAGUAACUAGAAUAUGUAGUGUAGCGGUGAAAUGCUUAGAUAUUACAUGGAAUACCAAUUGCGAAGGCAGGUUACUACUUAUGGAUUGACGCUGAUGGACGAAAGCGUGGGGAGCGAACAGGAUUAGAUACCCUGGUAGUCCACGCCGUAAACGAUGGAUACUAGCUGUUCGGAGCAAUCUGAGUGGCUAAGCGAAAGUGAUAAGUAUCCCACCUGGGGAGUACGUUCGCAAGAAUGAAACUUAAAUGAAUUGACGG